RNAcentral lists this ribosomal RNA (253 nucleotides) under uncultured bacterium. Its description in RNAcentral is "partial 16S ribosomal RNA". It matches the Rfam family "Bacterial small subunit ribosomal RNA", at positions 524 to 776 of the family's 1533-position model. The record is from RNAcentral.
UACAGAGGUCUCAAGCGUUGUUCGGAUUCAUUGGGCGUAAAGGGUGCGUAGGCGGCGCGGUAAGUCGGGUGUGAAAUCUCGGAGCUUAACUCCGAAACUGCAUUCGAUACUGCCGUGCUUGAGGACUGGAGAGGAGACUGGAAUUUACGGUGUAGCGGUGAAAUGCGUAGAUAUCGUAAGGAAGACCAGUGGCGAAGGCGGGUCUCUGGACAGUUCCUGACGCUGAGGCGCGAAAGCUAGGGUAGCAAACAGG